UUUUUUUUUUUUGCUAUAAAACUAUAGGAUUUUUCAUUAAAAAAAUGAAUAAAAAGAAGAUAUAUUUGGCCUUCACCAAAAUUGUCAUAACAGAUAAUAAAAGGCUAGUAACUCUAACUCAUGUAGUUGAGGCACUCAUAUGCAGUGCCACUAAGGAAGCGUAGAAACCAUCUUUGAUAUUGAUCAAAGCCUCAUGCUUUCCCUUCUCUACGAUAACUCCACUUUUAACAACUGCAAUAACAUCUGCAUUCUUUAUUGUAGAUAAUCGAUGGGCUACAACAAUUGUGGUCCUGUUCACCAUUACUCGGUCUAAUGCAUCUUGAACUACUCUCUCAGAUUCAGCAUCCAGAGCACUGGUAGCUUCAUCUAAUAGCAGUAUCUUUGGACUUUUGAUUAUAGCACGAGCAAUGGCUACCCUUUGUUUUUGCCCUCCGGACAACUGGACUCCUCGCUCUCCCACAACAGUAUCAUACCCCUGUUGUAAGCUACUAAUGAACUUGUGUGCGUUGGCCAUUUCUGAUGCAGCUAAAAUUUCUGCCUCAGUUGCCUCUUCAUCCUUUCCAUAUGCAAUAUUGGCCCGAAUUGUAUCGUUGAACAAGACUGGUUCUUGGCUUACAAGUCCCAUUUGCUGCCUCAACCACUUCAGUUGCAGCCUUUGAAUUUCAACUCCAUCAAGAGUUAUAUGACCGGAAUCCGGAUCAUAAAAUCUUUGUAACAAUGAGAUGACGGUUGAUUUCCCACUUCCACUUUCUCCAACUAGAGCCACAGUCUUGCCUGAAUGAAUAGCCAAGCUAAGGUCUCGGAAAAUUUGAACAUCUGGCCUUGAUGGAUACUUAAAGCUUAUAUGACGAAGCUCAAUUUCUCCUCGUACAUUCUCUAGAGUCAUUCCUGACUCAUCGCUUGGAUCUAUCUUUGACUUUCUGUCAAUAAUUGAAAAUAUUGAAGCAGCAGCAUUCUUGGCCUUGGAAGAGUCAGGAGCAAAAGAGCUUGAUUGAGAAAUUCCAAUAGCUGCCAUGGUUAAAGCAAAGAAAACUUGGAAAACAUCCGAGAAUUUUGUUUUCCCAUGCUGAACAAGCUGAGCUCCUGCAUAGAAACUGGUUGCAUAGACACAGAACAGCAAAAAGAAAGAUACACCAAAUCCGACUCCACUUAUAAGGCCUUGCCUUACUCCUGUCUUCAAAGGGCCUUCACAUUUCUUUUUGUACAGUUGCAUCACCUUUUCUUCCCCACAGAAAGAGGCAACAGUUCUUAUACUCCCUACUGCAUCAUUUGCAACUUGGCUUGCUUCCUCAUACAUCAUCUUUGCAUCUGCACUGAACCCUUGCAUGAACUUCACUUGAACAUAUCCGUUGAUUCCUAUGAGAGGGAUUAGUACAAGAAUAAUGAAGGCCAAUUGCCAACUUGCAGUGAAGGCAAUGACUAGACCUGCUACUGCUGAUGAAAUAUUUUGGACCAACUGAGCUAGUGCGUCUCCAACUAAAGCACGAAUUAUUGCUGCAUCUGCUGAAAGCCUAGCACCAAUUGCACCACUUGAGUGCUCAGGAUCAUCAAACCAACCAACCUCCAUAUGAACUACCCUCUCAAAGCAAAUCGUUCGAAUCCGUUGGAUUAGUUUACUUCCAGCCACAGCAAAGAAGUAAAAUUGAGAUGGAAGUACCAAAAAUGAUGCCACCCCAAGUACCAUAAAAAUUAUUGCCCAGAACUUAGUAUCUUUUCUUAAUUCAUGAGGUGGUUCAUAAAAUGAUUUGAUCACUCUAGAAAUGAGUAUUCCAAAAAUUGGAAAGAUAACACCGUUGAUGCAUGCGGCUAUAGUUCCAAUCGUAAGCAUAGGAAUCUCAGGCUUGUUAAGAUAUGCAAGUCGACGGAUUGGGACCUUAGGAGCUUUCUCUUGCGGUGGAGAAACUUCAGUUUCUUCCUGGGAAUUUUCAGUGACAUUAAUUCCUGUAGGUAAACCAAAUGAGACUGGGAACGAAUGGCGACUGCUAUUUCCUACUCCAGAUGAUCCCCGACUAAUGGAUCGUCGCAGUGAAAUUCUUUGACUUGACUGUCUAAAGGAUUCAGAAGAAAGAUCUGAUCUUUUAUGGUCCUCUGCUGCAUGUUCUGAAUCUUUAUUUACCUCUUGUAAGCGUAUAAGCUGAGAGUAUGCUCCAUCAGGAUCCGAGAGUAACUCUGAAUGUGAGCCUUUUUCAACCAUCUUUCCACGGUGAAUUACAGCAAUUACAUCAGCAUUCCUAAUUGUACUCAGACGAUGGGCAACAAUGACAGUUGUUCGGUUGACCAUAAUCCUGUCUAAUGCCUCCUGAACUAUCCUUUCAGAUUCUGCAUCGAGUGCACUUGUGGCUUCAUCUAAAAGUAAAAUCCUUGGAUCUUUUAAGAUGGCUCUCGCUAUUGCAAUUCUUUGCUUUUGUCCCCCAGAUAGCUGAGUUCCAUGCUCACCAGCCAUGGUGUCUAGUCCCUGAGGUAGUUUAUCAAUGAAUUUAGCAGCAUUGGCAAGUUCGGCUGCAGCUCUUAUCUCCUCAGUCGUUGCUCCAUCUUUUCCAUACGCAAUAUUAUCCCUAAUGCUGGCUGUAAACAACACAGGUUCUUGGCUGACAAGUCCAAGUUUUUCCCUAAUCCACUUCAGCUGGAACUCUUUGAGGUUGACCCCAUCAAUAAGAACCUCCCCAGCUUGUGGAUCAUAAAAUCUCUCUAUCAGACUGAUAACAGUCGACUUCCCACUUCCACUUUGUCCAACCA
This 2736-nucleotide unclassified non-coding RNA is filed under the name Hevea brasiliensis (rubber tree). The record is from RNAcentral. Lineage: Eukaryota; Viridiplantae; Streptophyta; Magnoliopsida; Malpighiales; Euphorbiaceae.